Molecule: unclassified non-coding RNA, 381 nt
Filed under: uncultured Actinomycetes bacterium
Lineage: Bacteria; Bacillati; Actinomycetota; Actinomycetes
Description: uncultured actinobacterium contains 16S-23S intergenic spacer region
Source: RNAcentral
UCCGAGUUGACCCCGGCAGUCUCCUACGAGUCCCCGGCAUUACCCGCUGGCGACAUAGGACGAGGGUUGCGCUCGUUGCGGGACUUAACCCAACAUCUCACGACACGAGCUGACGACAACCAUGCACCACCUGUGAACCAGCCCCAAAGGGGAAGGACUGUUUCCAGCCCGGUCCGGUCCAUGUCAAGCCUUGGUAAGGUUCUUCGCGUUGCAUCGAAUUAAUCCGCAUGCUCCGCCGCUUGUGCGGGCCCCCGUCAAUUCCUUUGGGUUUCAGCCUUGCGGCCGUACUCCCCAGGCGGGGCACUUAAUGCGUUAGCUACGGCACGGAAUCCGUGGAAACAGAUCCCACACCUAGCGCCCAACGUUUACGGUGUGGACUAC